GUGCUGAAAGCAUCUAAGCACGAAACUUGCCCCGAGAUGAGUUCUCCCUGAGACUAUAAGUCUCCUGAAGGAACGUUGAAGACGACGACGUUGAUAGGCCGGGUGUGUAAGCGCAGCGAUGCGUUGAGCUAACCGGUACUAAUGAACCGUGAGGCUUAACCUU
This 163-nucleotide ribosomal RNA is filed under the name Klebsiella pneumoniae. Its description in RNAcentral is "partial 23S ribosomal RNA". It matches the Rfam family "Bacterial large subunit ribosomal RNA", at positions 2768 to 2925 of the family's 2925-position model. RNAcentral also lists the same sequence under 4 other names. Lineage: Bacteria; Pseudomonadati; Pseudomonadota; Gammaproteobacteria; Enterobacterales; Enterobacteriaceae. The record is from RNAcentral.